Molecule: ribosomal RNA, 435 nt
Filed under: uncultured bacterium
Lineage: Bacteria
Description: bacterial SSU rRNA
Rfam family: Bacterial small subunit ribosomal RNA
Source: RNAcentral
UCAGGCCUAACACAUGCAAAUAGAGCGAGAAAGCCCUUUGGGGUGAGUACAGCGGCGGCGGGUGAGUAACGCGUGGGAAUCUACCCAGUAGCGGGGGAUAGCCCGGGGAAACUCGGAUUAAUACCGCAUACGCCCUACGGGGGAAAGCAGGGGAUCUUCGGACCUUGCACUAUUGGAUGAGCCCGCGUCAGAUUAGCUUGUUGGUGGGGUAACGGCCUACCAAGGCGACGAUCUGUAGCUGGUCUGAGAGGAUGAUCAGCCACACUGGGACUGAGACACGGCCCAGACUCCUACGGGAGGCAGCAGUGGGGAAUAUUGGACAAUGGGGGCAACCAUGAUCCAGCCAUGCCGCGUGUGUGAAGAAGGCUUUCGGGUNAGCACUUUCAGUGGGGAGGAAAAGUUGCUGGUUAAUACCCAGCGACCNACGUACCCNGA